CACUUGUCGGUCGGUCUACUCUAGAACUUUCUCCAGUUGUCGGUCGGUCUACUCUAGAACUUUCUACAGUUGUCGGUCGGUCUACUCUAGAACUUUCUACAGUUGUCGGUCGGUCUACUCCAGAACUUUCUACAGUUGUCGGUAGGUCUACUCCAGAACUUUCUACAGUUGUCGGUAGGUCUACUCCAGAACUUUCUACAGUUGUCGGUCGGUCUACUCUAGAACUUUCUACAGUUGUCGGUCGGUCUACUCCAGAACUUUCUACAGUUGUCGGUCGGUCUACUCCAGAACUUUCUACAGUUGUCGGUCGGUCUACUCCAGAACUUUCUACAGUUGUCGGUAGGUCUACUCCAGAACUUUCUACAGUUGUCGGUAGGUCUACUCUAGAACUUUCUCCAGUUGUCGGUAGGUCUACUCUAGAACUUUCUCCAGUUGUCGGUAGGUCUACUCCAGAACUUUCUACAGUUGUUGGUAGGUCUACUCUAGAACUUUCUCCA
Long non-coding RNA from Acanthochromis polyacanthus (spiny chromis), 497 nucleotides. RefSeq lists it as uncharacterized. The record is from RefSeq and is a predicted model, not a curated record. Lineage: Eukaryota; Metazoa; Chordata; Actinopteri; Pomacentridae. The transcript is spliced from 3 exons.